Molecule: ribosomal RNA, 846 nt
Filed under: Leptoxyphium sp.
Lineage: Eukaryota; Fungi; Ascomycota; Dothideomycetes; Capnodiales; Capnodiaceae
Description: partial large subunit ribosomal RNA
Rfam family: Eukaryotic large subunit ribosomal RNA
Source: RNAcentral
AACCAACAGGGAUUGCCUCAGUAACGGCGAGUGAAGCGGCAAAAGCUCAGAUUUGAAAUCUGGCGUCUUCGGCGUCCGAGUUGUAAUCUGUAGAGGAUGCCUUUGGGUGGCCACCGGUCUAAGUCCCCUGGAACGGGGUGUCACAGAGGGUGAGAAUCCCGUAUGUGACCGGGAAGGCGCCCUAUACAUGGCUCCUUCGACGAGUCGAGUUGUUUGGGAAUGCAGCUCUAAAUGGGAGGUAAAUUCCUUCUAAAGCUAAAUACCGGCCAGAGACCGAUAGCGCACAAGUAGAGUGAUCGAAAGAUGAAAAGCACUUUGGAAAGAGAGUUAAAAAGCACGUGAAAUUGUUGAAAGGGAAGCGCUUGCAACCAGACUUGUUGGCGGUGUUCCGCCGGUCUUCUGACCGGUCUACUCACCGUCUGCAGGCCAGCAUCAUCUGGGGCCGCUGGAUAAAAGCGGAGGGAAUGUGGCUCCUCCGGGAGUGUUAUAGCCCUCUGUGUAAUACAGCGAGUCCCGGGUGAGGUCCGCGCUUCGGCUAGGAUGCUGGCGUAAUGGUCGUAAGCGGCCCGUCUUGAAACACGGACCAAGGAGUCUAACAUCUAUGCGAGUGUUCGGGUGUCAAACCCCUACGCGUAAUGAAAGUGAACGGAGGUGGGAACCUUUUAGGUGCACCAUCGACCGAUCCUGAUGUCUUCGGAUGGAUUUGAGUAAGAGCAUAGCUGUUGGGACCCGAAAGAUGGUGAACUAUGCCUGGAUAGGGUGAAGCCAGAGGAAACUCUGGUGGAGGCUCGCAGCGGUUCUGACGUGCAAAUCGAUCGUCAAAUUUGGGUAUAGGGGCGAAAGACU